Vigna unguiculata (cowpea) is the source of this 1142-nucleotide unclassified non-coding RNA. NCBI's taxonomy places the organism in Eukaryota, Viridiplantae, Streptophyta, Magnoliopsida, Fabales, Fabaceae. The record is from RefSeq and is a predicted model, not a curated record.
ACGACGAAGACUUUUUCAAUGAUAUAAAAGAGGAAGUUAUAGUAUCCUUCAAUCAUGCAGAAUAAAUAACAAUAAUUCGUGAAUAGGAAGAAGACAAAUUGUGAGUGUUCGAAAAAGGGUGUCCUUUCAUUCUUAUCUCUUGCAGCAGUAGUGAGUGUGAGCAUUCUAUCGCAUGCUCUCUACUCGAUUCAAGCAACGGAGUACAUUCAUCUGUCAGGAGGUGUAUCGAUCAGUGUAAAUAACUCAACGUUUCAGAGUCUCUUUGAAAUAAUGGAUCACCAUUUGUUUCUUUCUCACCAUUCUCCAUUCUCUCUGCGUAUUAGUUAAAGGAGGUGUAUGAGUGACCCCAUCGGUGACCCCUUUUUGUUAUAGUUAUGGUUAUGCGGUCAGUCACUCCGAACCAUCGGCUCUGAUACCACUGAUAGGUUAUAUAUAUUUUAUUUUUCACAUAUAUGGGUUAUGGUUAUAGUCAUGGUUAUGACAUUGAGAGAUUAUGGUUCUAUAUAAUUAUAUGACAUUAGUCUUAUAUAUAUAAAACCUUAGACACCACUUUAACCCCAUAACCUUAAGGCAAUGUUAUUAUGGGUCUUUAUUCUUAUAUAAUGUUCAAUUUUAUCUUUUCUAUCUAAUGUGACUUUUUGACUCACACUUGGACUAUUCCCAACUUAUCUCAUCCAUCUUCUCCUUUCUUCCUCUCUUUUUCCUUAUUUAUUUGUUACUUUGUGUGGAUUUGUGAUCCGUGAUGCGUUAGUGUGUUGGGAUUACGGUGAAUAAAAGUGAAUUUGGAGUGUUGUUGGUGAGGAGAGAGAGAAAAGAGAGUGUUGGUUGUGUUGUGAAGGAAAGUAGGUUGGAGAAGAUGAUGUCCGUUGGUGUGUGUGGUGUGGUGUCUGGAUUUGGUUAUGCAGGUGAUCUUCAUUCGUGCAUCCCCAUCAUCAUACUCUUCCUCACCUCACCACACUUAAUCAUACCUACAGAACACACGACAGAAUAAAAAUUCUCAGUGCCUCCAACUCACGCAUAGAACUUCCAUCACCAACCUUCUCCUACCAAAAAAACCCAACACAGAAUCAACCCUUGUAAUCACCAUCUUCCUAACAACACAAAGACAAAAAGAAAACAGAGAACACAACUGCAAGGCCAAC